This 484-nucleotide ribosomal RNA is filed under the name uncultured bacterium. Its description in RNAcentral is "partial 16S ribosomal RNA". It matches the Rfam family "Bacterial small subunit ribosomal RNA", at positions 28 to 507 of the family's 1533-position model. The record is from RNAcentral.
AUUGAACGCUGGCGGCAUGCUCUACACAUGCAAGUCGAACGGCAGCGCGGUCUUCGGCCUGGCGGCUCGUGGCGAACGGGUGAGUAAUGCAUCGGAACGUGCCCCGUGUUGGGUGAUAGCCCCGCGAAAGCCGUAUUACUACCGCAUACUACCUGCUGCUGCAACCGGGUGACCGAAAGGCCUCGCGCUCUUGGAGCGGCCGAUGUCGGAUUAGCUAGUUGGUGGGGUAAAGGCUUACCAAGGCGACGAUCCGUAGCUGGUCUGAGAGGACGACCAGCCACACUGGGACUGAGACACGGACCAGACGCCUGAGGGAGGCAGCAGUGGGGAAUGUUGGACAAUGGGGGCAACACUGAUACAGCCAGGGCGCGUGCGAGAAGAAGGCCUUCGGGUUGUAAACAGCUUUUGUGCGGGAAGAAAUCCUCUGGGCUAAUACCCCGGGGGGAUGACGGUACCGGAAGAAUAAGCACCGGCUAACUACGUG